UGCUUGUCUUUGCCAAAUACUGUCACAGGAGAGCAACAGUUCAUGGUGAUCAUGACCCAAGAAUACUCCAUCGAACAAGGUCACGGUUCUCUGGAAUUGACAAGAAAGUUAUAGAAUCACUUCCUUUCUUUAGAUUCUCUUCCCUUAAAGGAUCAAAACAAGGGCUUGAAUGUGCUGUCUGCCUAUCAAAAUUUGAAGAUAUUGAAAUAUUAAGAUUGCUGCCUCAGUGCAAACAUGCCUUUCACAUUAAUUGUAUUGAUCAGUGGCUAGAAAAACAUUCGAGCUGCCCUCUUUGCAGGCAGAAGGUCAACGCUGAGGACCCAACAAUCUUUACAUACUCAAAUAGCAUGCGGUUCUUAUGGAAUCAAUCUGAGCUAAGAGAGGACUCCAACAUAGAGCUCUAUGUCCAGAGAGAGCAAGAGAAUCAUGGCUCAUCAAGAUUCAGAAUUGGAAGCAGUUUCCGGAAAACUGAAAAGGGCAAUAUCGAAAAUGAAGUUCUAAUUAAACAAGAAGAUGCUGACAACGAGGAUGAUGAUGAUGAUGAUGAUGGGAGGGUCCUCCAUAAGUUCAAUCACAAGAUCAUCGUAUCUGAUGUAGUUUUGAAGAACCGAUGGAGCAGUGUGAGUUCUUCAGACCUGUUGUUCUUGAACUCCGAGAUGCUUAACGAUAUGUCGAGCAACAGAUUUUCUUCCCUGGAAAUAAAUGAUGGGCAGGUUACGAAAACAAAAACAAUUGAAAACGAGCAAAUCAUGAAGAUUAAGGAGGAGUUGGAGAUAAAGAGAUUGUUUGAGAGCAAAGUUGGUUCAAUUAACAAAAACAAUCCAGUUUCAGCUCCUGUUCUUCCUUCAACAUCAAAUUCUGAAGCCACUUCGAGUCAUAAAUCAAGGAUUAUUAAUCAAGCUGAGAAAAGAUCAAUGUCAGAGAUCACUGCUUUAUCGAGGUUUCGAGAUGUCAGUACAAGAAAGAGAACAAGUGAGUCUUCAUUUUCUGAUACCUAUACAAAGGAGGAAAGAAUAAGGCGGCUUUGGUUGCCAAUUGCCAGAAGAACAGUCCAAUGGUUUGCCAAUAGAGAAAAAAGGUCUCAACAAUCUCAGGAUACAAUACAUCAUUUAGAUGUUUGAAGAUUUGUUGAUUGAUGGAGAAAUUUCAUGUAGGUAGUUGCAUUUUGUGCAUAAUUUCAAUAGGCAGAGCUAAACACUUCCGUUUAUUAUUUUCCCUG
Molecule: long non-coding RNA, 1219 nt
Filed under: Durio zibethinus
Lineage: Eukaryota; Viridiplantae; Streptophyta; Magnoliopsida; Malvales; Malvaceae
Description: long non-coding RNA (DZIB_LNC000462)
Source: RNAcentral